Molecule: ribosomal RNA, 473 nt
Filed under: uncultured bacterium
Lineage: Bacteria
Description: bacterial SSU rRNA
Rfam family: Bacterial small subunit ribosomal RNA
Source: RNAcentral
GACGAACGCUGGCGGCGUGCCUAACACAUGCAAGUCGAGCGGGGUUGAAGCGAGGGGUAACUCGAGUUUCUACCUAGCGGCGGACGGGUGAGUAACGCGUGGGCAACCUGCCUCAAGGACUGGGAUAACAGCUCGAAAGGGCUGCUAAUACCGGAUAAGCCUAUGGCCUCGCAUGGGGCCAUGAGCAAAGGGGAAACCCGCCUUGAGAUGGGCCCGCGUCCCAUCAGCUAGUUGGUGAGGUGAAGGCUCACCAAGGCGACGACGGGUAGCCGGCCUGAGAGGGUGACCGGCCACACUGGGACUGAGACACGGCCCAGACUCCUACGGGGGCAGCAGUGGGGAAUCUUGCACAAUGGGCGAAAGCCUGAUGCAGCGACGCCGCGUGAGCGAAGAAGGCCUUCGGUUGUAAAGCUCUGUCUGGAGGGACGAAGGAAGUGACGGUACCUCCGGAGGAAGCCACGGCUAACUACGUG